Molecule: ribosomal RNA, 2881 nt
Filed under: Vibrio sp. B1ASS3
Lineage: Bacteria; Pseudomonadati; Pseudomonadota; Gammaproteobacteria; Vibrionales; Vibrionaceae
Description: 23S ribosomal RNA
Rfam family: Bacterial large subunit ribosomal RNA
Source: RNAcentral
UUAAGUGACUAAGCGUACACGGUGGAUGCCUUGGCAGUCAGAGGCGAUGAAGGACGUAUUAACUUGCGAUAAGCCCAGAUUAGGUAGUAAAAACCAUUUGAGUCUGGGAUUUCCGAAUGGGGAAACCCACUAGCAUAAGCUAGUAUCGCUGCGUGAAUACAUAGCGCAGCGAGGCGAACCGGGGGAACUGAAACAUCUAAGUACCCCGAGGAAAAGAAAUCAACCGAGAUUCCGAAAGUAGCGGCGAGCGAAAUUGGACUAGCCCUUAAGCUUUUUAUGCGUCAGGUGAAACUUCUGGAAAGUUGUGCGAUACAGGGUGAUAGCCCCGUAACCGGCAACGCAUAUAAAGUGAAAUCGAGUAGGGCGGGACACGUGAUAUCCUGUCUGAAUAUGGGGGACCAUCCUCCAAGGCUAAAUACUACUGACUGACCGAUAGUGAACCAGUACCGUGAGGGAAAGGCGAAAAGAACCCCUGUGAGGGGAGUGAAAUAGAACCUGAAACCGUGUACGUACAAGCAGUAGGAGCACCUUCGUGGUGUGACUGCGUACCUUUUGUAUAAUGGGUCAGCGACUUAUAUUCAGUGGCAAGGUUAACCAUCUAGGGAGCCGUAGCGAAAGCGAGUGUUAACUGCGCGACUCAGUCGCUGGAUAUAGACCCGAAACCAGGUGAUCUAGCCAUGGGCAGGUUGAAGAUUGAGUAACAUCAAUUGGAGGACCGAACCGACUAAUGUUGAAAAAUUAGCGGAUGACUUGUGGCUAGGGGUGAAAGGCCAAUCAAACCUGGAGAUAGCUGGUUCUCCCCGAAAGCUAUUUAGGUAGCGCCUCGGACGAAUACUACUGGGGGUAGAGCACUGUUAAGGCUAGGGGGUCAUCCCGACUUACCAACCCUUUGCAAACUCCGAAUACCAGUAAGUACUAUCCGGGAGACACACGGCGGGUGCUAACGUCCGUCGUGGAGAGGGAAACAACCCAGACCGCCAGCUAAGGUCCCAAAUUACUACUAAGUGGGAAACGAUGUGGGAAGGCUCAGACAGCCAGGAUGUUGGCUUAGAAGCAGCCAUCAUUUAAAGAAAGCGUAAUAGCUCACUGGUCGAGUCGGCCUGCGCGGAAGAUGUAACGGGGCUAAGUAGUAAACCGAAGCUGCGGCAAUGCACUUUGUGCAUUGGGUAGGGAGCGUUCUGUAAGCGGUUGAAGGUGUGUGGUAACGCAUGCUGGACGUAUCAGAAGUGCGAAUGCUGACAUGAGUAACGAUAAAGGGGUGAAAAACCUCCUCGCCGGAAGACCAAGGGUUCCUGUCCAACGUUAAUCGGGGCAGGGUAAGUCGACCCCUAAGGCGAGGCCGAAAGGCGUAGUCGAUGGGAAACGGGUUAAUAUUCCCGUACUUCUUACAAUUGCGAUGGGGGACGGAGAAGGCUAGGUGGGCCUGGCGACGGUUGUCCAGGUUCAAGUGCGUAGGCUGAGAAAUUAGGUAAAUCCGGUUUCUCUUAAGGCUGAACACGACGUCGAGCUACUACGGUAGUGAAGUCAUUGAUGCCAUGCUUCCAGGAAAAGCCUCUAAGCUUCAGAUUGUAAGGAAUCGUACCCCAAACCGACACAGGUGGUCGGGUAGAGAAUACCAAGGCGCUUGAGAGAACUCGGGUGAAGGAACUAGGCAAAAUGGUACCGUAACUUCGGGAGAAGGUACGCUCUUGAUGGUGAAGUCCCUUGCGGAUGGAGCUGACGAGAGUCGCAGAUACCAGGUGGCUGCAACUGUUUAUUAAAAACACAGCACUGUGCAAAAUCGUAAGAUGACGUAUACGGUGUGACGCCUGCCCGGUGCCGGAAGGUUAAUUGAUGGGGUUAGACUUCGGUCGAAGCUCUUGAUCGAAGCCCCGGUAAACGGCGGCCGUAACUAUAACGGUCCUAAGGUAGCGAAAUUCCUUGUCGGGUAAGUUCCGACCUGCACGAAUGGCGUAAUGAUGGCCACGCUGUCUCCACCCGAGACUCAGUGAAAUUGAAAUCGCUGUGAAGAUGCAGUGUACCCGCGGCUAGACGGAAAGACCCCGUGAACCUUUACUACAGCUUGGCACUGAACAUUGACCCUACAUGUGUAGGAUAGGUGGGAGGCUUUGAAGCAAGUACGCCAGUAUUUGUGGAGCCGUCCUUGAAAUACCACCCUUGUAGUGUUGAUGUUCUAACGUCGACCCCUAAUCGGGGUUGCGGACAGUGCCUGGUGGGUAGUUUGACUGGGGCGGUCUCCUCCCAAAGAGUAACGGAGGAGCACGAAGGUGGGCUAAUCACGGUUGGACAUCGUGAGGUUAGUGCAAUGGCAUAAGCCCGCUUGACUGCGAGAAUGACAAUUCGAGCAGGUGCGAAAGCAGGUCAUAGUGAUCCGGUGGUUCUGAAUGGAAGGGCCAUCGCUCAACGGAUAAAAGGUACUCCGGGGAUAACAGGCUGAUACCGCCCAAGAGUUCAUAUCGACGGCGGUGUUUGGCACCUCGAUGUCGGCUCAUCACAUCCUGGGGCUGAAGUCGGUCCCAAGGGUAUGGCUGUUCGCCAUUUAAAGUGGUACGCGAGCUGGGUUUAGAACGUCGUGAGACAGUUCGGUCCCUAUCUGCCGUGGGCGUUGGAAGAUUGAAGGGGGCUGCUCCUAGUACGAGAGGACCGGAGUGGACGAACCUCUGGUGUUCGGGUUGUGUCGCCAGACGCAUUGCCCGGUAGCUAAGUUCGGAAUCGAUAACCGCUGAAAGCAUCUAAGCGGGAAGCGAGCCCUGAGAUGAGUCUUCCCUGAUACUUUAAGUAUCCUAAAGGGUUGUUCGAGACUAGAACGUUGAUAGGCAGGGUGUGUAAGCGUUGUGAGGCGUUGAGCUAACCUGUACUAAUUGCCCGUGAGGCUUAACCA